UACGGGGGGGGCAAGCGUUGUUCGGAAUUACUGGGCGUAAAGGGCUCGUAGGCGGCCAACUAAGUCAGACGUGAAAUCCCCAGGCUCAACCUGGGAACUGCGUCUGAUACUGGUUGGCUUGAAUCCGGGAGAGGGAUGCAGAAUUCCAGGUGUAGCGGUGAAAUGCGUAGAUAUCUGGAGGAAUACCGGUGGCGAAGGCGGCAUCCUGGACCGAGAUUGACGCUGAGGAGCGAAAGCUAGGGGAGCAAACGGG
This 253-nucleotide ribosomal RNA is filed under the name uncultured bacterium. RNAcentral's name for it is "partial 16S ribosomal RNA". It matches the Rfam family "Bacterial small subunit ribosomal RNA", at positions 524 to 776 of the family's 1533-position model. The record is from RNAcentral.